Molecule: small RNA, 1248 nt
Filed under: Pongo abelii (Sumatran orangutan)
Lineage: Eukaryota; Metazoa; Chordata; Mammalia; Primates; Hominidae
Description: processed transcript
Source: RNAcentral
ACAUCAACCUCCUGCUGUCCAUGUAUUUCUUCGUGCUGGGAAUCCUGGCCCUGUCCCACACCAUCAGCCCCUUCAUGAAUAAGUUUUUUCCAGCCAGCUUUCCAAAUCGACAGUACCAGCUGCUCUUCACACAGGGUUCUGGGGAAAACAAGGAAGGGGCUGACAGGUGGGAGGGGUAGCCCCGCCCCGGGGAGUGGACUUACCUGGCCUCUCUGCUCAGAGAUCAUCAAUUAUGAAUUUGACACCAAGGACCUGGUGUGCCUGGGCCUGAGCAGCAUCGUUGGCGUCUGGUACCUGCUGAGGAAGCACUGGAUUGCCAACAACCUUUUUGGCCUGGCCUUCUCCCUUAAUGGAGUAGAGCUCCUGCACCUCAACAAUGUCAGCACUGGCUGCAUCCUGCUGGGUGGACUCUUCAUCUACGAUGUCUUCUGGGUAUUUGGCACCAAUGUGAUGGUGACAGUGGCCAAGUCCUUCGAGGCACCAAUAAAAUUGGUGUUUCCCCAGGAUCUGCUGGAGAAAGGCCUCGAAGCAAACAACUUUGCCAUGCUGGGACUUGGAGAUGUCGUCAUUCCAGGGAUCUUCAUUGCCUUGCUGCUGCGCUUUGACAUCAGCUUGAAGAAGAAUACCCACACCUACUUCUACACCAGCUUUGCAGCCUACAUCUUUGGCCUGGGCCUUACCAUCUUCAUCAUGCACAUCUUCAAGCAUGCUCAGCCUGCCCUCCUAUACCUGGUCCCCGCCUGCAUCGGUUUUCCUGUCCUGGUGGCGCUGGCCAAGGGAGAAGUGACAGAGAUGUUCAGUUAUGAGGAGUCAAAUCCUAAGGAUCCAGCGGCAGUGACAGAAUCCAAAGAGGGAACAGAGGCAUCAGCAUCGAAGGGGCUGGAGAAGAAAGAGAAAUGAUGCGGCUGGUGCCCGAGCCUCUCAGGGCCAGACCAGACAGAAUGGGGGCUGGGCCCACACAGGCGUGCACGGGCAGAGGGCACAGGAGGCCGAGGGCAGCUCCAGGACAGGGCAGGGGCAGCAGGAUAACUCCAGCCAGGCCUCUGUGGCCUCUGUUUCCCUCUCCCUUUCUUGGCCCUCCUCUGCUCCUCCCCACACCCUGCAGGCAAAAGAAACCCCCAGCUUCCCCCCUCCCCGGGAGCCGGGUGGGAAAAGUGGCUGUGAUUUUUAGAUUUUGUAUUGUGGACUGAUUUUGCCUCACAUUAAAAACUCAUCCCAUGGCCAGGGUGGGCCACUGUGCUCCUGGAA